RNAcentral lists this ribosomal RNA (149 nucleotides) under uncultured bacterium. RNAcentral's name for it is "partial 16S ribosomal RNA". It matches the Rfam family "Bacterial small subunit ribosomal RNA", at positions 369 to 509 of the family's 1533-position model. The record is from RNAcentral.
CAAUGGACGAAAGUCUGAUGGAGCAACGCCGCGUGAGUGAAGAAGGGUUUCGGCUCGUAAAGCUCUGUUGGUAGUGAAAGAAAGAUAGAGGUAGUAACUGGCCUUUAUUUGACGGUAAUUACUUAGAAAGUCACGGCUAACUACGUGCC